GACGAACCGUGCGAACGUUAUUCGGAAUCACUGGGCUUAAAGGGUGCGUAGGCGGGUUGCCAAGUCUGUGGUGAAAUCCUCCGGCUUAACUGGAGAACUGCCGUGGAUACUGGCGACCUCGAGGGGUGUAGGGGCUUGCGGAACUGUGCGUGGAGCGGUGAAAUGCGCAGAUAUCAGGAGGAACACCGGUGGCGAAGGCGGGUCUCUGGGCCGUAACUGACGCUGAGGAGCGAAAGCGUGGGGAGCGAACAGG
This 253-nucleotide ribosomal RNA is filed under the name uncultured bacterium. RNAcentral describes it as "partial 16S ribosomal RNA". It matches the Rfam family "Bacterial small subunit ribosomal RNA", at positions 524 to 776 of the family's 1533-position model. The record is from RNAcentral.